ACUCAAUAGAUACCCGGGUAGUCCACGCCGUAAACUAUGGAUGCUAGCUGUUAUCGGUAUCGACCCCGGUAGUAGCGAAAGCUAAACGCGUUAAGCAUCCCGCCUGUGGAGUACGAGCGCAAGCUUAAAACAUAAAGGAAUUGACGGGGACCCGCACAAGCGGUGGAGCGUGUUGUUUAAUUCGACGGUAAACGAAGAACCUUACCCAGGCUUGACAUCCUGCUAAGUUUUGCGAAAGCAAAAUGUGCCUUCGGGCCGCAGUGACAGGUGAUGCAUGGCCGUCGUCAGCUCGUGUCGUGAGAUGUUUGGUUAAGUCCAUCAACGAGCGCAACCCUUAUAGUCAGUUGAAUUUCUCUGGCUAGACUGCCCCGGUAACGGGGAGGAAGGAGGGGACGAUGUCAGGUCAUUAUUUCCCUUACGUCUGGGGCUACAAACACGCUACAAUGGCCGGUACAAAGGGCAGCCAA
This 467-nucleotide ribosomal RNA is filed under the name uncultured bacterium. Its description in RNAcentral is "bacterial SSU rRNA". It matches the Rfam family "Bacterial small subunit ribosomal RNA", at positions 772 to 1253 of the family's 1533-position model. The record is from RNAcentral.